GUGGGGAAUUUUGGACAAUGGGCGAAAGCCUGAUCCAGCAAUGCCGCGUGCAGGAUGAAGGCCCUCGGGUUGUAAACUGCUUUUGUACGGAACGAAAAGCCUGGGGCUAAUAUCCCCGGGUCAUGACGGUACCGUAAGAAUAAGCACCGGCUAACUACGUGCCAGCAGCCGCGGUAAUACGUAGGGUGCAAGCGUUCAUCGGAAUUACUGGGCGUAAAGCGUGCGCAGGCGGUUUUGUAAGACAGUGGUGAAAUCCCCGGGCUCAACCUGGGAACUGCCAUUGUGACUGCAAGGCUAGAGUGCGGCAGAGGGGGAUGGAAUUCCGCGUGUAGCAGUGAAAUGCGUAGAUAUGCGGAGGAACACCGAUGGCGAAGGCAAUCCCCUGGGCCUGCACUGACGCUCAUGCACGAAAGCGUGGGGAGCAAACAGGAUUAGAUACCCCGGUAUCC
RNAcentral lists this ribosomal RNA (449 nucleotides) under uncultured bacterium. Its description in RNAcentral is "partial 16S ribosomal RNA". It matches the Rfam family "Bacterial small subunit ribosomal RNA", at positions 354 to 795 of the family's 1533-position model. The record is from RNAcentral.